AACCUUUACAAUGCCGGCAACGGCGAUAAGGGGACCUCGAGUGCUUCGAUACAAUCGAAGCUGUCUAGUUGCCUAAAAAGCAAUUGAUAGCAAGGGCCGGGCAAGACCGGUGCCAGCCGCCGCGGUAACACCGGCGGCUCGGGUGGUAACCGCUAUUAUUGGGUCUAAAGGGUCUGUAGCCGGCUUAGUUAGUCUCUUGAGAAGUCUGGCCGCUCAACGGUCAGGCGUUCAGGGGAUACUGCUAAAGCUCGAGACCGGGAGAGGUGAGAGGUACUUCAGGGGUAGGGGUGAAAUCUUGUAAUCCUUGAAGGACCACCAGUGGCGAAGGCGUCUCACCAGAACGGCUCUGACGGCAAGGGACGAAAGCUAGGGGCACGAACCGG
Molecule: ribosomal RNA, 383 nt
Filed under: uncultured archaeon
Lineage: Archaea
Description: bacterial SSU rRNA
Rfam family: Archaeal small subunit ribosomal RNA
Source: RNAcentral